GACAGAGGGUGCAAACGUUGUUCGGAAUUACUGGGCGUAAAGCGCGUGUAGGCGGCAGCGUGUGUCGGGCGUGAAAUCCCACGGCUCAACCACGGAAGUGCACCCGAAACUGCGUAGCUGGAGUCUCGGAGAGGAAGGUGGAAUGCUUGGUGUAGAGGUGAAAUUCGUAGAUAUCAAGCGGAACACCGGUGGCGAAGGCGGCCUUCUGGACGAUGACUGACGCUGAGACGCGAAAGCGUGGGGAGCAAACAGG
RNAcentral lists this ribosomal RNA (253 nucleotides) under uncultured bacterium. RNAcentral describes it as "partial 16S ribosomal RNA". It matches the Rfam family "Bacterial small subunit ribosomal RNA", at positions 524 to 776 of the family's 1533-position model. The record is from RNAcentral.